RNAcentral lists this ribosomal RNA (374 nucleotides) under uncultured prokaryote. Its description in RNAcentral is "bacterial SSU rRNA". It matches the Rfam family "Bacterial small subunit ribosomal RNA", at positions 524 to 896 of the family's 1533-position model. The record is from RNAcentral.
UACGGGGGGGGCAAGCGUUGUUCGGAAUUACUGGGCGUAAAGGGCUCGUAGGCGGCCAACUAAGUCAGACGUGAAAUCCCUCGGCUUAACCGGGGAACUGCGUCUGAUACUGGAUGGCUUGAAUCCGGGAGAGGGAUGCGGAAUUCCAGGUGUAGCGGUGAAAUGCGUAGAUAUCUGGAGGAACACCGGUGGCGAAGGCGGCAUCCUGGACCGGCAUUGACGCUGAGGAGCGAAAGCCAGGGGAGCAAACGGGAUUAGAUACCCCGGUAGUCCUGGCCCUAAACGAUGAAUGCUUGGUGUGGCGGGUAUCGAUCCCUGCCGUGCCGAAGCUAACGCAUUAAGCAUUCCGCCUGGGGAGUACGGUCGCAAGGCUG